UUAAGCGACUAAGCGUACACGGUGGAUGCCCUGGCAGUCAGAGGCGAUGAAGGACGUGCUAAUCUGCGAAAAGCGUCGGUAAGGUGAUAUGAACCGUUAUAACCGGCGAUGUCCGAAUGGGGAAACCCAGUGCAAUUCGUUGCACUAUCGUUAACUGAAUACAUAGGUUAACGAGGCGAACCGGGGGAACUGAAACAUCUAAGUACCCCGAGGAAAAGAAAUCAACCGAGAUUCCCCCAGUAGCGGCGAGCGAACGGGGAGCAGCCCAGAGUCUGAAUCAGCUUGUGUGUUAGUGGAACGGUCUGGAAAGUCCGACGGUACAGGGUGAUAGUCCCGUACACCAAAAUGCACAGGCUGUGAACUCGAAGAGUAGGGCGGGACACGUGGUAUCCUGUCUGAAUAUGGGGGGACCAUCCUCCAAGGCUAAAUACUCCUGACUGACCGAUAGUGAACCAGUACCGUGAGGGAAAGGCGAAAAGAACCCCGGCGAGGGGAGUGAAAAAGAACCUGAAACCGUGUACGUACAAGCAGUGGGAGCACCUUCGGGUGUGACUGCGUACCUUUUGUAUAAUGGGUCAGCGACUUAUAUUCUGUAGCAAGGUUAACCGUAUAGGGGAGCCGCAGGGAAACCGAGUCUUAACUGGGCGUUAAGUUGCAGGGUAUAGACCCGAAACCCGGUGAUCUAGCCAUGGGCAGGUUGAAGGUUGGGUAACACUAACUGGAGGACCGAACCGACUAAUGUUGAAAAAUUAGCGGAUGACUUGUGGCUGGGGGUGAAAGGCCAAUCAAACCGGGAGAUAGCUGGUUCUCCCCGAAAGCUAUUUAGGUAGCGCCUCGUGAACUCAUCUUCGGGGGUAGAGCACUGUUUCGGCUAGGGGGUCAUCCCGACUUACCAACCCGAUGCAAACUACGAAUACCGAAGAAUGUUAUCACGGGAGACACACGGCGGGUGCUAACGUCCGUCGUGAAGAGGGAAACAACCCAGACCGCCAGCUAAGGUCCCAAAGUCAUGGUUAAGUGGGAAACGAUGUGGGAAGGCACAGACAGCCAGGAUGUUGGCUUAGAAGCAGCCAUCAUUUAAAGAAAGCGUAAUAGCUCACUGGUCGAGUCGGCCUGCGCGGAAGAUGUAACGGGGCUAAACCAUGCACCGAAGCUGCGGCAGCGACACUAUGUGUUGUUGGGUAGGGGAGCGUUCUGUAAGCCUGCGAAGGUGACCUGUGAGGGUUGCUGGAGGUAUCAGAAGUGCGAAUGCUGACAUAAGUAACGAUAAAGCGGGUGAAAAGCCCGCUCGCCGGAAGACCAAGGGUUCCUGUCCAACGUUAAUCGGGGCAGGGUGAGUCGACCCCUAAGGCGAGGCCGAAAGGCGUAGUCGAUGGGAAACAGGUUAAUAUUCCUGUACUUGGUGUUACUGCGAAGGGGGGACGGAGAAGGCUAUGUUAGCCGGGCGACGGUUGUCCCGGUUUAAGCAUGUAGGCUGGUUAUCCAGGCAAAUCCGGAUAAUCAAGGCUGAGGUGUGAUGACGAGGCACUACGGUGCUGAAGUAACAAAUGCCCUGCUUCCAGGAAAAGCCUCUAAGCAUCAGGUAACAUUGAAUCGUACCCCAAACCGACACAGGUGGUCAGGUAGAGAAUACCAAGGCGCUUGAGAGAACUCGGGUGAAGGAACUAGGCAAAAUGGUGCCGUAACUUCGGGAGAAGGCACGCUGGUGUGUAGGUGAAGCCCCUGCGGGUGGAGCUGAGACCAGUCGAAGAUACCAGCUGGCUGCAACUGUUUAUUAAAAACACAGCACUGUGCAAACACGAAAGUGGACGUAUACGGUGUGACGCCUGCCCGGUGCCGGAAGGUUAAUUGAUGGGGUUAUCCGUAAGGAGAAGCUCUUGAUCGAAGCCCCGGUAAACGGCGGCCGUAACUAUAACGGUCCUAAGGUAGCGAAAUUCCUUGUCGGGUAAGUUCCGACCUGCACGAAUGGCGUAAUGAUGGCCAGGCUGUCUCCACCCGAGACUCAGUGAAAUUGAACUCGCUGUGAAGAUGCAGUGUACCCGCGGCAAGACGGAAAGACCCCGUGAACCUUUACUAUAGCUUGACACUGAACAUUGAGCCUUGAUGUGUAGGAUAGGUGGGAGGCUUUGAAGCGUGGACGCCAGUCUGCGUGGAGCCAACCUUGAAAUACCACCCUUUAAUGUUUGAUGUUCUAACGUUGGCCCCUGACCGGGGUUGCGGACAGUGUCUGGUGGGUAGUUUGACUGGGGCGGUCUCCUCCCAAAGCGUAACGGAGGAGCACGAAGGUUAGCUAAUCCUGGUCGGACAUCAGGAGGUUAGUGCAAUGGCAUAAGCUAGCUUGACUGCGAGCGUGACGGCGCGAGCAGGUGCGAAAGCAGGUCAUAGUGAUCCGGUGGUUCUGAAUGGAAGGGCCAUCGCUCAACGGAUAAAAGGUACUCCGGGGAUAACAGGCUGAUACCGCCCAAGAGUUCAUAUCGACGGCGGUGUUUGGCACCUCGAUGUCGGCUCAUCACAUCCUGGGGCUGAAGUAGGUCCCAAGGGUAUGGCUGUUCGCCAUUUAAAGUGGUACGCGAGCUGGGUUUAGAACGUCGUGAGACAGUUCGGUCCCUAUCUGCCGUGGGCGCUGGAGAAUUGAGGGGGGCUGCUCCUAGUACGAGAGGACCGGAGUGGACGCAUCACUGGUGUUCGGGUUGUCAUGCCAAUGGCACUGCCCGGUAGCUAAAUGCGGAAGAGAUAAGUGCUGAAAGCAUCUAAGCACGAAACUUGCCCCGAGAUGAGUUCUCCCUGAGACUUUAAGUCUCCUGAAGGAACGUUAAAGACGAUGACGUUGAUAGGCCGGGUGUGUAAGCGCAGCGAUGCGUUGAGCUAACCGGUACUAAUGAACCGUGAGGCUUAACCUU
Molecule: ribosomal RNA, 2900 nt
Filed under: Klebsiella pneumoniae
Lineage: Bacteria; Pseudomonadati; Pseudomonadota; Gammaproteobacteria; Enterobacterales; Enterobacteriaceae
Also listed under: 1 other name
Description: bacterial LSU rRNA
Rfam family: Bacterial large subunit ribosomal RNA
Source: RNAcentral